Molecule: ribosomal RNA, 252 nt
Filed under: uncultured bacterium
Lineage: Bacteria
Description: partial 16S ribosomal RNA
Rfam family: Bacterial small subunit ribosomal RNA
Source: RNAcentral
UACGUAGGUCCCGAGCGUUGUCCGGAUUUAUUGGGCGUAAAGCGAGCGCAGGUGGUUUAUUAAGUUUGGUGCAAAAGGCAGUGGCUCAACCAUUGUAUGCAUUGGAAACUGGUAGACUUGAGUGCAGGAGAGGAGAGUGGAAUUCCAUGUGUAGCGGUGAAAUGCGUAGAUAUAUGGAGGAACACCGGUGGCGAAAGCGGCUCUCUGGCCUGUAACUGACACUGAGGUUCGAAAGCGUGGGGAGCAAACAGG